CGACCUGAGAUCAGACGAG
RNAcentral lists this ribosomal RNA (19 nucleotides) under Psammoryctides barbatus. Its description in RNAcentral is "partial 28S ribosomal RNA". The record is from RNAcentral. Lineage: Eukaryota; Metazoa; Annelida; Clitellata; Tubificida; Naididae. RNAcentral also lists the same sequence under 1 other name.